UACGAAGGGGGCUAGCGUUGCUCGGAAUUACUGGGCGUAAAGAGCGCGUAGGCGGACAUUUAAGUCAGAGGUGAAAUCCCGAGGCUCAACCUCGGAACUGCCUUUGAUACUGGAUGUCUUGAGUAUGAGAGAGGUAUGUGGAACUCCGAGUGUAGAGGUGAAAUUCGUAGAUAUUCGGAAGAACACCAGUGGCGAAGGCGACAUACUGGCUCAUUACUGACGCUGAGGCGCGAAAGCGUGGGGAGCAAACAGG
RNAcentral lists this ribosomal RNA (253 nucleotides) under uncultured bacterium. RNAcentral's name for it is "partial 16S ribosomal RNA". It matches the Rfam family "Bacterial small subunit ribosomal RNA", at positions 524 to 776 of the family's 1533-position model. The record is from RNAcentral.